This 68-nucleotide transfer RNA is filed under the name Marmota monax (woodchuck). Its description in RNAcentral is "tRNA.Ala". Lineage: Eukaryota; Metazoa; Chordata; Mammalia; Rodentia; Sciuridae. The record is from RNAcentral.
GGUUUGUAGCUCAGUGGUAGAUCUCUUGCCUUGCAUGCGAUAGGCUUUGGGUUUGAAACUCAGCACCA